CUUGCCUGUGUUGGUCAGAAGCAUAGAGAGGCUUGGUUAAUUGUCAGUUUAUCUUACAGUGAAUUUAGUAAAGGUUUCAAUUUUUCUGGUUAGUCAUGUUUAUGUAGUGGAAUAUUGUUCCUUUGUUGAACUGAAGAAAUUCUAAUAUACAAUAUGAGUGGUUUUUAUUGCUGUUUCUGUAAGGUAGUAAAAGGUGUUCAAGACUCCUUUCCAGACAUCGUCAGCACAGCUGAAAAACCUCCUGGAAAGCACAACGCUGCAGAAGGGUCCUGAGGAAGGUUACAACAAUGUUCUGCGAGAUGUGGGAUCUGGUGGGCUGCCUGCUUCCAGUGACCUGGGGACCCUGUCAGGUUCUGACAGAGGUGGAAAAACCCAAAUGACGCUAUGAAUUCCCCAUCCUCUAAAUACCAGGUGCCUCCUGAAGGGCUGCUGUGCAGCAGAUAGCUGCCCUCGCAUCCAGGGAGAAGGCAGCUGCUGACUACUGGCAUGUGUGCGUCCCAGGAGCGGUGCCAAAGCGGGUCUCCUUACCACAGAAGCAGCCUCAGAGGCACUAGGUGGCUGCACAGCACGGCGCGGCUGGCAGGCAGGAUGAGGUGGUUCGCCUCAGAAAGCAUCUGGGGAGCUGGUGGUCCAACCACUGAUUAUGAGUCACGUUCUGCUUCCAGAUUGAAUGGAUGUUUUAUUUGCUUCAAGUCUUGCAUGUGGCUCUUGCUCUUUUGAUGGUGUUUGAGAGAAAAUGGCCAAUCAGCUCUUCUGUCAUCUGCCACCCCUUCGAUAUAGCAUUAGAUAAACAUGGUUGAGAUAGUUUAAUAUCCUCUCUGCAAAGUUCCUCCUAUAUUGUAUGAAAGCAGGCAAGUUUCUCAGGAAUGACAACUCAAUGACCAACAUCACCAUGACAAUCUGUUGUCACGCAAGUAUUGCAUCUCACUAAGAAGUGAAUUAAGCAACUGAUGGAACCAAUUAACAGCCUUAAAAUGUAAGAACUGGCAUAUAAACUGCUGCCUGACAAAAGCAGCAUUGCACCAUUUUUGGAAGAGCAGAACUUCUUCCCUCUCCCUGCUAGUUCCACUUUAUAGAAACCUAAAGAAAGACUGGUAAUACCACUAGAGAAAUAAGGGAUCCAUCUACUAAAUUUAUUUCCAGAAUUAUUCUUAACAUCAUCUCCACAAAUCACUCAGAGUCCAAACCCAUACAUGAAACUAGGAUCAGGAGCAGUGCCUGUCCUGGGCACUGCACAUCUUGAGUGGACGCUCAGUCGAGUCUCUUCCCUCACAAGCUAAUCCAAAAUAACAGUGUUUCAAAGGGCCUGGGGGAAGAAUCCCUUUUCAGAUAAUUAAUACAAAGUGUUCAAAAAAAAAAAAAUCCCUUCUCUUUACAAAUGCCAUCCCAUCCCCCUCCAGAAAGCAUUACUCUGACAUCUGCUACUGCUGCUACACUCUGCCUGUUAUUAUUUGUCUUAGAGCCUCUGCCCAUUCUUUUGCUUCUACAGCUGCUGCUGGUGUUUCCUCUUGGUGUUUCCUGCCUGCCUGGCCUAAAUUCCAUCUGACACCCUCUUGCCCCUCUGGCUUUCUGCCCGGCUGGUUAAGAUGGCAUUCAGUUGACUUGCAGUGCUCCUUUCUGCAGUAGGAACAUAAAAUAAUAUUUGGGUUUAAUUUGCUUUUUGAAGAGCUCUUCAAGAUCCUUUCAUGAAGGUAAUACAUUAUUUCUUCAUACUGACCCUUCAGUUUGAUCUUUGAUCUGUGGAGAAUCCUGUACACGCGUGAGAAUUGUCAAUGACUGUCAGGACUGCAAAGAAACUUGUGGUAAAUUUCCUUCUUCAAAAACCAUGUCAGGUUGGGCUGGCAGGGGGAAUUGUCGGAGUAGACAAUUUUGUCCUUUCUCUUCAAAAGUAUCGCAGCCAAAAUGACAGCACAAUCUUCCUCUGGCAGCAUCACUGGUAUCUCUGUGGUUUAUAUCCAUUUGCAACUUGAGUGAGAAACAAAUUGAAGAGUCCAGGCUAUGCGUGCUUGUUCUUUGUCCUUGGUCUAUCUCUUAAUUUCUUAGGGGCUAGCAGUUGUCUGGACCUUUCCAUCAACAAAGACAACAGUUGCAGACUUAUAAGGGAGAAGAGGCAAGUAGCUGAAAAUGCAUUGUUAUUCCCCUUUGUCACCCUACAUUUGUCAAAUUUAAGGCAUUUCAAAAUAUAGUACUCAGUUUAAUCACAAUAUGGAUGACAUGGACAAGAUCUUUGGGUUUUUAGAACUGACAGGUGAGCAAUGGACUGCUCAAAGGUGAGGCACAUUCAUAUGUGUUCAGAGCUCAUGGCAAAAACUUACCUCCAUUCUGCUGCUCACUAAGUUUUUCCAGCAUUAUUAGAUUACCUAGGAGAGCAUUCUUGCCUUCUGUACUAGAACUGGUCUCUGCCAACUGGCUGUAGGUGGGGAACCUACUGAGCUAGACUAUUUGGGAAUUACAACUUUUUCUUUCCUGUUCUGAAACUGCCACCUGUUGAAACUGCCACCUGUAUUUUAUUCACGGAGAAAAUAGCCUUCUAAUAUAAUAUUAUAUUUUCAAUUGCAAAAUAGCAUUUAUCACAUCUAUUUGUUUUAAUUUGGAACCAAAAUAAAUCCUGGAGGAAGAAUUAACCUAACUACACAUCAAGCAGUAUGAUGUUAGCUCAUGCACAGAAAACAAUAGCUUUCUAAAAUGGGGUGAAGCACUACAUUCAUGAUUUGAUGCUCCCCACUUGUCUGUCGUCUAGAUGCUGAGUAUCUGUUUGCACUGGAUCGUUAAAGAUGAUAUCUUCUGAAACAGAUAAAGCCAUGCAGUCUAUUAAACUUUUUAAUAAAGAUGAAAGCAUUUCCUCUGCAGCACACCAGGACCACUAGUACAGUACAGUAAGUGUGAUUCCAAACGUGAAGAGUGAUAUUCUGGUUGAUGCAUGGAGUCACAGAACUACGUUCCACAACUUUGUGGCCAAGGACGUAUCUCCCAAACUAAAAACUGAAGACUCAAAAAUCAUAGGGAAAUACCUGUGAAUGAAAAGGAAAUGAGCUGUUACCUCAUUCCUUUCGCCUGAACUGCCAAAACUACUUAGCUGUGUUGGAGGAGCUGAAUGCAAGAAAAGAGAGGGAUUUGAAAUGUGCAAAUACCAGAUUCUAUAAGGCAACUAUUUCCAGGUGGAGGGAACAGUCUGUUCAGAGACACAAGGUUUCUUUCAUGUACCUGGCCUUGAAUGACUAUUCCUUAAUAUUUUGAUUUUAUCCUGCCCACACCACAGUUAAGCAGUACUUAAAACGUUCUUAAGACUAAGAAAGUAAUGAAAGAGAAAAAUAAAUUUGAAUUUAAGGGGCAAAAAUUUGUUGUACCUUCCAAAACAUAAUCAAUAUGUAAUUUUGGGUCAAUACAAUGUACUGGAGAAGAGAAGGGGAAAAAAAAAAAAAAAAAAAAAAAAAGCUAGACAUUAAGAGGACCAGGACUGCUAAAUGCUGUCUUGUCGCACAGUGCAUAUUCCUUAAAUCCACAUCUGCCAUAAUGAGAUUUCUAACACUAUAUAAGAAAAACAUAUUGCAAUGAAAAUAUCUUAGGUUUUAGGAACGUUGACUAAAAACCUGAAAACGUAUUGUUUGAUAAUAGUGCACUGCAAUCCUAGAGAGAUGCUUCUGGUGAAUUUUCACCAAAGCAUUUCUUGGUGACUUUCCUACUCCUUCAUUUAAAGUGCUCUUGAGCAGCGUUAUAAGCAUCAGAAGUAGAUGCUACACAGAAACUAUUUUGUCUAUUCCAAAUAAGUAAGAACAAGUAUAAGAGGGGUUAAUCUGAACUUUUGGUUCAUUCUUAGCUGGUGUCUUGGGAGAAGGCUUGACGAUCUUAACUUGACACCUGUAUAUAUAUUUAUUUUUAUUGGAACAUAGAAUUACAUUGGAUUUUAAGUGAUUCCGUUUAGUUUGUAAAAUGAUAUGUUGUUUACAUUGAUUCUUCUGGUUUAUUUUCAAAAUGUUGUUACAGUGAGUUCUUAAAUAUUUUAAUUAGCAGCACAUUAAAAAAUACUGUUUUCAAGGAAUUAAGUCAUUUAGAACUAGUUAAUGCCCUUCUGUAUCACUUUAACCUGAAUCUAGGCUGCUAAUCCCAUUGAAUAACAAAAAUAAUGAAUUUACCUCCCUCGUUGUGCACUCAGAAAGAUGCUCUCUAGUAGAGUGGACCUUGAAUGUCAGUCAAAAAAGGAAAAUCUAACUUCUAAUAAAUUCCUAAAAUGUAAAUUAACUCUGCUAAAGUGUCAAUCAUGUAGACAAGUGGAAUAUCAGAAAUUCCUCUGAUUUCUGUUCCUUAUAACAUCUCUGGUGAUGUCCAAUAACAUACUCUAAGAAAGUCCCUGGCAUAGUAUUAAAAAAAAAAAAAGGCUUUUUUUUCCCCCAUAUUUCUAAAAACAUUCAGCUUUCUUAAUAUUGUUGCAUGGAAUUUAACAUGAUUUUUAAAAACUAAAAAAUGUCUCCAAACAAUCCCCAAAGCCUCAGCUCUUUUUUCAUUGUUUUUAUUUAACAUAUUAUGUCAGAUUUUUGAGAUCCCAAAAGCAUGUCGGCAUAUAAAAAUGCAUAAUUUACAGCACUGUCUGCAGGUGUGGCCACUCAGAAAUCUCUUUCAGAAAGCUGGGCACAAUUUGUACACAGAGCUGGGCUUCUGUCUGACCACAUCAUACUCUGCCUUCUGGGUAGAGGUCCUUCUUCUUCCAUUUUCUCUUCUCCAUGGCUUUCCCCUCAUUGUCCUUGAGCUCAGUGCAGGUUUUGCCUCUCCAUCCAAAUCUGUUCUGAGCUGCACCCACACCUGUAUAAUUGCCUGGCUUGCUCCUUUCUUGGCCCCACAGUUGCUGGAUUCUCUUUUUCAAGUUAGUCCUUUUAUACGCUGAACAUCUACGAUGUGGUGACUAAUGACUGCAGUCCUUCUUCGUGUUUGAUCUCUAAGCUGAAACCAAGCUGUGAUACUGAUUGAAAUCCUCCUCUCUGCCUCAUCCUCCAUUCUUAGCAAAGUGAACCUGUGGUGUCAACACAGGGUUUCUAACAGAAAUGUUUGAAAGAAGGAAUGAUCGUGAACAAAUGAGAGCAUCUUCUGUUGCCUGUACUGCUCUCUGGCCUCUUCCCACCCUCCUCCCUUUGCACAGAGAGGGAUAGUCCCACGCCUGUGGGUUACAAAUUGCUCCCUGGCACAGCCACUGUCUCCUUCUCCUGGCACUGCUGAGAGCCAGGUGACUGGUAUUCGGCAUCAGAUGCCUAAAACCUGUUGGUCUUUCACAUCACCUAGAUCUGCUGAAGGCUUGUUCCCUGUUUCAGCUGCUUGCUGAUUCUUCCUCUGUGGUCCCAGUGGAAAUGCAGUUUUCCCACCCAGAGUCUCCCAGAUUAGGAAGCACAGACUCAAAGCUCCCAACUUCAAAUAGCUCCACUAUUUCCUGCUGCAAUUCAAAACUGCCCUUCUUGUUUGUAAGGCCUCUCCCCAGGAUUUCUUGAGCUAACUCCAGCCUCACUAAACAACCUCCUCUCUUUGCUCUCCUCUGUUCAGCUAAAGUGGCCUUCUCUCUGACCCUGUUGCUUCUGCCACCUGGAGCAGCCUUCCUGUGUCUUGCUGCCUUUCUGACUCACCACCUUCUUUUCAAAUGCCAUGUGAAAGCCUAUAGUUUCAACCUUGCCUUGUAACAACCUGGAGCAGCUUAAGGAAAACAACCUCUGGCUGUUAUCCAAAGAGGGUUCAAUAAUUAUUUCUCUAACCCUCCUAAAAUAAAAAGGUUGGCCACCAAAAACAAACAAAAGGAGGACCCCACACACAUCAUUGGCUAUUUUUGAUCGGAAAAGUGAAAAUUAAAUAAGACCUUAACAAAUUACUCUGCUGUGUGGCAAAUAGAAAAGUACAAAAAUA
Anas platyrhynchos (mallard) is the source of this 5880-nucleotide non-coding RNA. NCBI's taxonomy places the organism in Eukaryota, Metazoa, Chordata, Aves, Anseriformes, Anatidae. The record is from RefSeq and is a predicted model, not a curated record.